Molecule: ribosomal RNA, 799 nt
Filed under: uncultured bacterium
Lineage: Bacteria
Description: bacterial SSU rRNA
Rfam family: Bacterial small subunit ribosomal RNA
Source: RNAcentral
ACACAUGCAAGUCGAACGAGCGAGAGAGAGCUUGCUUUCUCAAGCGAGUGGCGAACGGGUGAGUAACGCGUGAGGAACCUGCCUCAAAGAGGGGGACAACAGUUGGAAACGACUGCUAAUACCGCAUAAGCCCACAGGUCGGCAUCGACCAGAGGGAAAAGGAGCAAUCCGCUUUGAGAUGGCCUCGCGUCCGAUUAGCUAGUUGGUGAGGUAAUGGCCCACCAAGGCGACGAUCGGUAGCCGGACUGAGAGGUUGAACGGCCACAUUGGGACUGAGACACGGCCCAGACUCCUACGGGAGGCAGCAGUGGGGAAUAUUGCACAAUGGGGGAAACCCUGAUGCAGCGACGCCGCGUGGAGGAAGAAGGUCUUCGGAUUGUAAACUCCUGUUGUUGAGGAAGAUAAUGACGGUACUCAACAAGGAAGUGACGGCUAACUACGUGCCAGCAGCCGCGGUAAAACGUAGGUCACAAGCGUUGUCCGGAAUUACUGGGUGUAAAGGGAGCGCAGGCGGGAAGACAAGUUGGAAGUGAAAUCUAUGGGCUCAACCCAUAAACUGCUUUCAAAACUGUUUUUCUUGAGUAGUGCAGAGGUAGGCGGAAUUCCCGGUGUAGCGGUGGAAUGCGUAGAUAUCGGGAGGAACACCAGUGGCGAAGGCGGCCUACUGGGCACCAACUGACGCUGAGGCUCGAAAGUGUGGGUAGCAAACAGGAUUAGAUACCCUGGUAGUCCACACCGUAAACGGUGAUUACUAGGUGUUGGAGGAUUGACCCCUUCAGUGCCGCAGUUAACACAAUAA